UCCUUGUUGCUGAGGAACGGCUUUGCUGCCCAGAGCCCUUGGUGACUUACAACUCCUCGAGGUGGACUGAUGGGCAGAGAAGGCUACUGAGACAGAGAAAAAACAUAAAACAAAACAGGGAUUUGUCAAGGCCCUUUGGUAUUUAACCACAAAAGAGAUAUAAACAGCCAAGGGCCUAGAUUCACUUUGAAGGCUCAGUAAGUGGGCCUUCAGCUAAGACAGGCUUCUGUCCAUCAAUCCAUCCUUCAUUUGCUGAGCAGGUAUUGUGCCAGGCACUUUUCUAGGUCCUAGAAUACAGCUCUGACCAGGACAGACCUGGCCCGGGCCCUCAGAGGGUGAGUGUUCUGGUAAAGGAGGCACAAUAAACAAGGAAAUAAAAAACAAGAUUGAAGAGGGUGAAACUGCUCUACAGGAAACAAACUGGGAAUUGAAAGAGCAAAGGGAAGAAAGGCCACAUUGGAUGGGGAGGUGAGGACGGCCUCUCUGAAGAGGUGAGCUUUGAGCUCAAGCUGAGCACUGAGAAGAUUCCAGCCCAGUAACAGCUAUCAGGAGAUCACGCCAGGUCAAGGACACAGCAGGUGCCAAGGCCUGGAGGCAGGACUGGGCUGGACAAGUCCAGGGAACAGAGAGGAUGCCAGGACUGAGGACGUAGGGAGAGCAGGUUGCAGGGAUGCAGAAAGCGGUGCGGGGUGUGGAUCAGGCAGAGCCUCCUGGGACAGGGUAAGCUCUUCUGGGGUUCACGGGAGCAGUGGGAGGUGAUUGGAGUUUAUAUGGUGGGGGUGCAGCACAGCUGGUGCACAUGUCUGGACAGCCACUGACUGGCUGCUGGGAGGGAAUGGAGGAUUAGGGCAAGAGUGGAAACCGUGGGUCCAGGCUGAAUCCAGACCUACAAGAUGCGAGACCUUGUGCAAAUGCGUCUUUCCUGAGCCUCAGGUCCUCGUCUGUGAAUGAGGGAAUCAUGAGCCAUCCUGAGGCUGAUCUGAGGAUGUAACAAGAAGGCGCCCAAGGCAGAGCCCAGCACACAGGGUAGAGGGAAUAAAAUGGGCCACCAUGAGGCAGCAGGCAGACAAAUUCAGACAAAUUCCAGGUUGGCUGAAGCAUUCAAAGCUAAAUCCAGAAUUCACGAACCUUAUUCCGCACCAACCAUCUGAUUGCUUCAAGAUUCUUUGAACAGCUGGCUGCCAGGGAUUCUGGGCAGACAGGAGGCCAAGAGCGGCAGCACCAGCAGCCACAGGAGGCCUCAAGGUGAAGGCACCAGCUGAGGAUGGUGGCAGAAAGGCAGAAGAAGCCAGGCUCUGGGCGAUAUCCUGCGGCCCCAGACUUCCCCUGGACCCUCUGCCCCUGGACCUGAGAAUCUGGAAUAAGGCAACGUCCCCCCGGAGAUGCCACCAUGCCUGGGCUUCUGUUGCUUUGAGCUGAGCACAGCCCUGGGUGAUGGAGAGAGACAGUAGUGGUCACCCUACCCAGCAACCACCUGCACAGGUAUACAUUCCAGGUCGGCUGAAGCACUCAAAGCUAAAUCCAGAAUUCACAAGCCUUCUUCCACACCAACCAUCCUAUUCCUUCAAGAUUCUUUGGACAUGUGGCUGGGAAUCACCGGGGACCCAUCCCCUUCCACCCAGGAAUCUGUCUGCCUCCUGCUGCCUUUCAUGGCACCCGGGCUAGGCCCAGACUUUGCUUCAAGAAUGAAGCUGGCACCCAUAGUAGGGAGAAGCCAGGCAGCAGGAGCAGGCACUUCCGAGCCUGCGAUGGCAGGAGGGCCUCCCUGGGUCCCCAAGAGUGCAGGGAUGCCCGAGUCUGCAGCCAGGGUUUGGGUGACUGCAGCUGUACCUGGAGGGGGCUGGGGGGCGGGUUGCAGGUGGUGAGGCUCCUGCCUGCUGCAUGGAGCAGGAGGCCCGGGUCUGCAGCGACAGUUUGGGCAGCUGCAGCUGCACCUGGAAAGGCAGGGCUCCUGCCUGCUCCCAGCCCCCAAAGAGCACAGGGAGGCUCAGAUCUGCAGCCAUGACUUGGGCUGGUGCAACCCCUCACAGGAGGGUGGGGCUCCUGCGCGCUCUGUGGAGUGGGAAGCCCAGGCCUGCAGCCGUGGUAUGAAUGGCUGCAGCGGCACCUGGGGAGCUCCUGCCCCAGCUUGGAAGGGGCAGGGCUCCCACUUGUCCCCAGCUCCUGUCAACUCCAUGGAGCGGUCAACCCCGGCUGCACCUCCCUGCUACAGCUGGUGUGAUGGCAGUGGCAGGCCAUCUGGAGAGGCUGCUGCCAUCAGUUGAGGCUGAAACUUCAUCGGCCCCUUGGGAAACCUCCAGCCUCCCAGAAACCAAGAGAACAUUUCUGCCUGCUGAGUUUCCCACCACGACCAUCCUCUGUGGGCCUUUCCCACCUCCACGUGGGGCCAUUUCCUUCAGCCUAAUUCACUGGGCUGUCAGGGAACUGCAGCUGGAGUUGGCUUUGCUCACUUCUGGCCAGGAGAACACAUUCUGGUCUGUUUUAACACCUAAAUGACACACGUAUGCCCUGCGUAAUGCAGAAAUGGAAAGUUCCUAUUUGCAGAGGGAAUCGUAGGCAUCUUUGUGAGCUUUUGUUCAAAGUAAACAAACCUCCAGCAGGAGCUCCUUGCUGGGAGGUCAGACUCUGUUGCUGCAGCUGCUUUGAGGGCCCCCAAGCAAGAAGGAAUUCUCCUAGCAGAUGACCUUUGAACUCAACAGCAACUCUGCCCUGGGUCUCCAGCCUGCUGGCCUAACCUGCAGAUUUUGGACUUACCGAGCCUCUACAAUCAUGUGAGCCAAUUCCUUAAAUUUCUCUCUCUCUCUCCACGUGCACACACACACACACACACGCAUGCAUAUAUAUAUACAUUUCCCUUUAGUUCUGUUUCUCUGAAGAACAUUGAUUAAUAAAUACACUCACUUUCAGUAUGGACAUAAUCACAUGUGCCCUGCAUAGGUUUUGGAGCUGAUGUCACAAGAACAAAAUUAUAUAUAUGUGCUUUGUUAGUAGUCAUAUUAAUCAUUAUUACUCUAACCUUGGAUUAAAUAUUAAUUUGAUAAUUAGUACUCUGAUCUCACAUUUUCCUGCCAGCUUUAUCAAUUAUUGACACAGGACUGGGUUCACAUCAGAGGACCCCAAAUCCUUCAGAGACAUCAGGGUUAAGGUCUCAAGAGGAAGCAGAGUUCACCCCCUAUGGUUCAAAUCAGAUAUGAAUGAAGGGACCCUUUGCAGAGGGGCAGUCAGGGCUAAAGAAUGAAUUGGGAAGUUGAGGCACACAGAGAUUAGCAGCAGUCAGAAGCUGUUACCA
Long non-coding RNA from Homo sapiens (human), 3289 nucleotides. RefSeq lists it as uncharacterized. The transcript is spliced from 3 exons. The record is from RefSeq and is a predicted model, not a curated record. Lineage: Eukaryota; Metazoa; Chordata; Mammalia; Primates; Hominidae.